AUGCAUACGGUCCUAUGUGCGAUUUUCCUCAUCCUCCAACUCUCGUCCUCCAUGCCGGUGAUCUCGUCACCCUCUAGCGCUCGGCAUUACAAGUCUAUUUUUAGCUUCGGCGACUCUUUAGCCGACACCGGCAACGGCCCUGUCAUCUUCCAGCGGUUCUCCAUCUUCAACCCCGUUACACGACCUCCCUAUGGCAGCACCUUCUUUGGCCGGCCCAGUGGCCGAGACUGCGAUGGCCGGCUCAUCAUCGACUUCAUUGCUGAAAACAUGGGCUUGCCAUAUGUGCCCGCCACCCAGGUGCAUAACGGCAGCUUCCAUCAAGGUGCCAAUUUCGCCGUUGCCGCCGCCACCACUCUUGACGCCGAUUUCUACCACGAGAGGGGUAUCCCCGGUGCACCCAGCAAGUUCCCGCUCAACACCAGCUUAGGCGUGCAGCUCGAGUGGUUCGAGUCCAUGAAGCCCUCCUUGUGCCGCACAGACCGAGAGUGCAAGGAAUUCUUUGGUAGUUCCCUCUUCUUCGUGGGAGAGUUCGGUGUCAACGACUAUCACUUCUCUUUCCAAAAGAAAACGGUACAGGAAGUCAGGUCCUUCGUUCCAGAUAUCGUGGCAACCAUAUCCAUGGCCAUCGAGAGGCUGAUCACCAAGCAUGGCGCGAGGAGCCUGGUGGUUCCGGGUGUGAUCCCAUCAAGAUGCUCACCGCCGAUUCUGACCAAGUUCGACGACGCCUCACCAGCAGCAUACGACUCCAAAACUGGUUGUCUAAAAGCUUACAACGAGCUGGGGAUGUACCACAACUCGCUGCUGCAGGCUGCCUUGUCCAAACUCCAGGCUAAGCACCGGAACGUCAGGAUCAUCUAUGCGGAUUACUUCGGCCCAGUCAUGGAUAUGGUGGAGUCGCCUCACAAGUUUGGUUAG
RNAcentral lists this ribosomal RNA (915 nucleotides) under Triticum aestivum (bread wheat). Its description in RNAcentral is "partial small subunit ribosomal RNA". Lineage: Eukaryota; Viridiplantae; Streptophyta; Magnoliopsida; Poales; Poaceae. The record is from RNAcentral.